RNAcentral lists this long non-coding RNA (212 nucleotides) under Pelobates cultripes (western spadefoot toad). Lineage: Eukaryota; Metazoa; Chordata; Amphibia; Anura; Pelobatidae. The record is from RNAcentral.
GUUAAGCCUUCCCCCUAAUCCUCUAGUGGCUGUCUCAUUGACAGCCACUAGAGGCGCUUGCGUGCUUCUCACUGUGAUUUUCACAGUGAGAGCACGCCAGCGUCCAUAGGAAAGCAUUAUAAAUGCUUUCCUAUGCGACCGGCUGAAUGCGCGCGCAUUCAGCCGACGGGGCGGAACGGAGGAGGAGAGAAGGAGGAGAGCUCCCCGCCCAG